UCUGUAUUUGUAUCUUUAUGUGGCGCUGUGGCCGCUGCUGCUGUUGUUGUUGUUGCUGCUGCUGCUAUUGUAUCGCUUUUGUAUCUUUUAGCGCUGUUUUGAGUUAAGCAAUUGAUGGAUAUGGUUUAUUUAUAACGCUUGGCGACCGAAACCGAACCGAACUGAACUGAACUGAGCCGAACCUCAUCAUCCUCUCCAUCGCAUCGGCGGCAACCUCAUCAUCGCCAUCGGAAUUCCGACGACGCCGAGCAGCUCGCACAAUGAGUGCGGACGUGUAUCUGAGUAUCUGCAAGAUACUCGUACUCAUACCCGUACUCACUCGCUCGCUGCCUGCGUUCGAUAAACAAGACCCUAUUUUGUUUGUCGAUUAAUUAUGCUGCCCCCCAAGAAAUGAUUGAGCACGUCUAAAAAUAAGUCGGAUAUCAGGGAGAAAUCCCAUAAAUUUUGGGUUACCCGACGCAAUUACAACAAAAGUGGAUGCCACAUGCCCACGCUUCAAAAGCGCAACAACAAGAGCGAUAAAUAAAAACAACGAUCGACAACAAACAAACAACGAACAACAGCAACAACAAAAGCAACGACAACAACGUGAAAAGUGCGUUGUACAUAAACGAAAUCGAAACGAAACGAAUAAUAAAUGAGAGGAAGAA
Drosophila erecta is the source of this 650-nucleotide long non-coding RNA. RefSeq lists it as uncharacterized. NCBI's taxonomy places the organism in Eukaryota, Metazoa, Arthropoda, Insecta, Diptera, Drosophilidae. The record is from RefSeq and is a predicted model, not a curated record. The transcript has 3 exons.